CCAAAAUGGCCACUCGAGUUCUAAAUUAUGUAUUGUUACAUUGGUCCAAUUAGUUAAAAAUGUGCAUGAGACUGAACUGUAAUUUUUAAGUGUAAAACCCAGACAGAGGAUGCUCCUGAGAAAUUUUAACAGAUUGGGAUACCAUUACUCAAAACCAGAUCUUCAGAAAGCAGAAGAGCACUCACCAGGAAGGACAACGCCUUCAUAAAAAUGACAACAAAAAAACAGAUCCUGAGUAAAGUCAGACCAAAAGCCAACCAGAAGGAGCUUGGAUCUAAGAGGAGACUCCCUGAACCGAAAGGAAAGAGAUGACCCAUGGAAGCAGAGAAACAGCUCAGGAGCUCAUGGUGCAAGAAAAAAGGCUAGAAGAGCUAGAAGAGGAGUUUUGCGAGCUUCUUCUGCCCCGGCCAGAUGCACAGAAAGGUGUUACCAAUUCCCAGAUCCUGGCAAUAUGUUUUCAUGUGGUUACCAUUGUCAACUGUGAGCAAAUCUACCAAUGACCUUGAUCUACUAUUACCAGAUCUGAG
RNAcentral lists this long non-coding RNA (527 nucleotides) under Ursus maritimus (polar bear). Its description in RNAcentral is "lncRNA (ENSUMAG00000014461.1)". The record is from RNAcentral. Lineage: Eukaryota; Metazoa; Chordata; Mammalia; Carnivora; Ursidae.